GGGCCUUUAGCUCAGUUGGUUAGAGCAUCCGGCUCAUAACCGGACGGUCCCGGGUUCAAGUCCCCGAAGGCCCA
Molecule: transfer RNA, 74 nt
Organism: Butyricicoccus pullicaecorum 1.2
Lineage: Bacteria; Bacillati; Bacillota; Clostridia; Eubacteriales; Butyricicoccaceae
Rfam family: tRNA
About the family: Transfer RNA (tRNA) molecules are approximately 80 nucleotides in length.
Source: Rfam